RNAcentral lists this ribosomal RNA (440 nucleotides) under uncultured bacterium. Its description in RNAcentral is "partial 16S ribosomal RNA". It matches the Rfam family "Bacterial small subunit ribosomal RNA", at positions 338 to 795 of the family's 1533-position model. The record is from RNAcentral.
CCUACGGGGGGCAGCAGUAGGGAAUAUUGCUCAAUGGGCGAAACCCUGAAGCAGCAACGCCGCGUGGAGGAUGAAGGUUUUAGGAUUGUAAACUCCUUUUGUGAGAGAAGAUAAUGACGGUAUGUCACGAAUAAGCAACGGCUAAAACCGUGCCAGAAGCCGCGGUAAUACGGAGGGUGCAAGCGUUACUCGGAAUCACUGGGCGUAAAGGGUGCGGAGGCGGGCUUGUAAGUCCGAUGUGAAAUCCUGUAGCUUAACUACAGAACUGCAUUUGAAACUAUGAGUCUAGAGUGUGGGAGAGGUAGGUGGAAUUCUUGGUGUAGGGGUGAAAUGCGUAGAUAUCAAGAAGAAUACUCAUGGCGAAGGCGGCCUACUGGAACAAUACUGACGCUCAUGCACGAAAGCGUGGGGAGCAAACAGGAUUAGAUACCCGAGUAGUC